RNAcentral lists this ribosomal RNA (358 nucleotides) under uncultured bacterium. RNAcentral's name for it is "partial 16S ribosomal RNA". It matches the Rfam family "Bacterial small subunit ribosomal RNA", at positions 338 to 713 of the family's 1533-position model. The record is from RNAcentral.
CCUACGGGUGGCAGCAGUAGGGAAUAUUGCUCAAUGGGGGAAACCCUGAAGCAGCAACGCCGCGUGGAGGAUGAAGGUUUUCGGAGUGUAAACUCCUUUUGUUAGAGAAGAUAAUGACGGUAUCUAACGAAUAAGCACCGGCUAACUCCGUGCCAGCAGCCGCGGUAAUACGGAGGGUGCAAGCGUUACUCGGAAUCACUGGGCGUAAAGAGCGCGUAGGCGGGAUAGCAAGUCAGAUGUGAAAUCCUAGGGCUUAACCAUAGAACUGCAUUUGAAACUGCUAUUCUAGAGUAUGGGAGAGGUAGGGGGAAUUCUUGGUGUAGGGGUAAAUUCCGUGGAGAUAAAGAGGAAUACACAU